This 328-nucleotide ribosomal RNA is filed under the name uncultured bacterium. RNAcentral describes it as "bacterial SSU rRNA". It matches the Rfam family "Bacterial small subunit ribosomal RNA", at positions 28 to 334 of the family's 1533-position model. The record is from RNAcentral.
GAUGAACGCUGGCGGCGUGCUUAACACAUGCAAGUCGAGCGAAGCACUUAGGUUCGAUUCUUCGGAUUGAAGACUUUUGUGACUGAGCGGCGACGGGUGAGGUAACGCGUGGUAACCUGCCUCGAUACAGGGGGAUAACAGUUAGAAAUGGCUGCUAAUACCGCAUAAGACCACGGUACUGCAUGGUACAGUGGUAAAAACUCCGGUAGGUAUGAGAUGGACCCGCGUCUGAUUAGGUAGUUGGUGAGGUUAACGGCCCGACCAAGCCGACGAUCAGUAGCCGACCUGAGAGGGUGACCGGCCACAUUGGGACUGAGACACGGCCCAG